RNAcentral lists this unclassified non-coding RNA (1000 nucleotides) under Daphnia magna. RNAcentral's name for it is "rho GDP-dissociation inhibitor 1, transcript variant X1". Lineage: Eukaryota; Metazoa; Arthropoda; Branchiopoda; Diplostraca; Daphniidae. The record is from RNAcentral.
UUUUUUUGCUUUUCUGGUUUUGACUUUCCAGAGGGCUGGGUUUGGUGAUACAGCUGUACGCGGGAGAAAUUUGGCACUCACGUUGAGGCAUAAGAGUCCGUGGUUUUGUGUUGCUGACCCGUCCAUUAAGUGCUAAAAGAACCAGCCACUGUCACUUCUAAGAAUGUCAUCAACAGAAGAAGUCCAUGAACAAGUCCAUGAACAAGAACAUCACGAUGAAGUAGCAAGUAACUAUGUUCCUCCACCACCAAAAUCAAUUGGAGAGCUGGUGGCAGCAGAUCAAGAAGAUGAAAGCUUACGCAAAUACAAAGAAACAUUGCUUGGAAAUGCAAUCGCUGAAAACAUUGUUAUAGAACCUGGUAAUCCCAAGAAAGUCUUGGUUAAAAAGUUAGUUCUGGUGUCAGAAGGCCAGACUGAAAAAACUUUGGAUCUUUCUGGUGAUCUUUCUAAGCUGAAACAAACUGUGUUCACUAUUAAAGAAGGUGUUCAAUACCGCAUUCGUAUCGAGUUUUUCGUCCAACACGAAAUUGUUACUGGACUGAAAUAUAUCCAAAAGACUUAUAGAAAAGGAAUCCAAGUGGACAAAAUGACCCAUAUGGUUGGAAGUUAUGCCCCCAAGAAGGAUUUACAGUCCUAUACGACGCCACUGGAAGAUGCGCCGUCCGGUCUACUAUACCGUGGUCAUUACACUGUUUCCUCUUUAUUCACCGACGACGACCAAAACGAACACCUCAAGUGGGAAUGGUCAUUUGAAAUUAAAAAAGAUUGGAAUUAAGAUGAUUACAGAGGAAACAUGAUUAAUAUGCCUUAUUGUAUCCUGGAGGACUCAAAACUUUCUUUUUCAUCGUCUAUCACGCGUUUUCCAGGAUUCAAUUUGAAUGCUUCUUUCUUUCAGUAUCUUCUUCCCCAUUCACUCUCUGUCGAGCCUCAACCAUUCUUACAGUUUUUUUUUUGAGGGCCUAAGAAUGCCGUUUUCAAUAAAUAAGGAUUGUUUCAAUCA